RNAcentral lists this unclassified non-coding RNA (298 nucleotides) under fungal sp. RNAcentral describes it as "partial internal transcribed spacer region". The stretch from base 1 to 46 matches the Rfam family "Eukaryotic small subunit ribosomal RNA", at positions 1786 to 1831 of the family's 1831-position model. Lineage: Eukaryota; Fungi. The record is from RNAcentral.
AAGUCGUAACAAGGUUUCCGUAGGUGAACCUGCGGAAGGAUCAUUUCCGAACAAAUAUUGUACCAACUCACUGUGUGCACUGUUGAUUCCUUUUUUCCUCUCCUUGCCAUGUUACAUAAAGGUUCCAAUGCCUAGGCACGAAGAACCUUUGAUUUAUAACCUCUGGCGGGGGAGGCCAUGUUGAACUACCUUACAAGAAAGGUUGAUGAUCAGGAUAUUUUUUGAGAUCGUGCUAUAAAUUGCACGGUAGCAAAAGACAAUUGAUUGACAACUUUUAACGGUGGAUCUCUUGGCUCGU